CUGCAUACUCACGCUCUCCUAACCCUUAAUCCUCUUUCUACCUCUGGUCCACCACGAAGCUGCUUCUGGCUUUCCUCCACCGGGAAACCACUUCUCUACAAACCGCGUUUCGUUCACGCAAGAUGUGUUCUGCGAUUUGUUGGAUUUCAAGGUACAAAAGGUGACUACCACUUCUGCAAUACACGUUUCAAGGUGAUUUUUGUUGGAUGAAUUGGCGUUUCCGUUUCCGUGCUGUGUUUUUUACUGGAUCCACGAACUGAUUUUUUACAGGAUGAAAUUCAUUUCUCGGUUCAGUUAGAGGUUCAAAACGUCAACUGAUUUUCUACGGUGUUUUAAUCAUCUGCAACUUGCUUAUGGUUCUGAAAUUUUGCAAGAGUGCAACGCUAUUCCCAGCUAAGUUCUGAAAUCACGUCUACUGAUUUUACUGCUUUGAGAACGAAAUCAGUAUUAAAGUUUUAUAGCAGUUCAGGGAGAUGAUCAAGGAUUACUUCUGUUCCAAUUCCUGUAAGUUGCUUCUUACUCAUCAUCUUAACUCUAGGUAAUUUAUUGUUUGUUACGGUAUUUUAGGAAUUCCUUUUUAACUUUAGUCUGAAUUAAAUAUAGAUUUUUAAACCAUAUAUCAAUCUAGGUUUAAAAAACAGUGAGAAGUGGACUAAUUAGUAUUUCUUUAGUACUUGAAGUGCAGAGUAUAGUAAACACGAUGCAAGAAAAAAGAAAACAGAGAAGAAAAGAAGGACGAGGGAGAUAAAAAGAGAACGAAGAGGUGUGUUUUACGUUUUGAUGUAUCUGAUAACUCUUUUUGCAGCUUUCAUAUGUGUUUCGUUUGGACAGUGCAUGAACCUUGAAAGAAUACUCACAACAUUUAGGAUGUCAGGUCUGGUUGUUGUUAAGUACAUCAGACAACCUAUCAAACUUCUAAACUUAGAUUCAUUAACCUUGUCAGAACCAUCAUCUUUGAUUAGCUUCUCCUUUUGAUUCAUGGGAGUGUUCACAGUUUUGCAAUCUUCCAUCAGAAAUUUCUUGAGUAUUUCCUUUGCAUGUUUUCUUUGACUUAAGAAAACUUCAUCCUGAUUCUGUUUGAUCUCAAUGCCAAGAAAGUAUGACAUAAGACCAAGAUCUGUCAUUUCAAAGACCUUUUUCAUUUCCAGUUUGAACUGGUUGAUUUCUUCAACAUUGCUUCCUGUAACUAACAUGACAUCCACAUAAAGAGAAAUUACCAAAAUAUUUGUACCUUGAUGUUUGACAUACAAUGUGAGUUCAGAUUGGCUUUUAUGAAAGCCAAGGUGCACCAGAUGAUCAUCAACCUUGUUGUACCAGGCUCGUGGAGCUAGCUUUAAUCCAUAUAAAUCCUUUUUCAAAAAGUAGACUUUAUUUUCAUUGCCCUCAUUCACAAAGCCUUCAGGUUGUUCAACAAAAAUUUCUUCUUGCAAAUCUCCAUUUAAGAAUGCAGAUUUAACAUCCAAAUGGUAUACUUUCCAGCUCCUUUGAGCAGCAAGAGCAAGCAAUAAUAUUACAGUGUCAAGCCUGGCAACAGGUGCAAAUGUCUUUGAAUAAUCAACACCAAAAACUUGUGCAUAUCCUUUCACAACAAGUCUUGCUUUGAAUUUGUUGAUAGAACCAUCAGGACUUAGCUUGGUUCUGAAAACCCAUCUUACUCCAAUUAUUUUUCUGUUUAGUCGACCAACCAACUCCCAGGUUUUAUUUUUCUCAAUCAUAGAAAGCUCCUCCUACAUUGCAGCCAUCCAGUGUUGACUGUUUUUUGCAUCGUGAAAUCCUGCAGGCUCACAAACAGCUACAUUGCACCUUUGACAGAUGUCAGACAAUAGUCUUGUUCCUCUGACAGGUGCAUCAUCAACUGUAGCAUCAUCUUCAGAUUCUUCAGUCAUGCUCCCAAGGGUUGAACUGUUUGGAGCAUUUGGACUUUGAUUCACCUUAGUUGAACUUUCCCAAUCCCAUUGUUCAUUUUCAACAAAAUGAACAUCUCUGCUUACAAUCACACGACCAAUUUGUGGCUGAAAAAUUUUGUAAGCUUUGGAUACAGUGCUAUAUCCAACAAAGAUGCUUGCUUAUGCUUUUUUAUCAAGCUUAUCACGCUUGACCUGUGGAAUAUAAGUGAAGCAAAGACAACCAAAUAUUUUGAGAAAUUUUAAAGAAGGUUUGUAGCCAUACCAAGCUUCAUAUGGUGUCAGAUCUUUCAAGGCUUUUGUAGAAAUUCGAUUUUGUAGGAAUACAACAGUGUUUGUUGCCUCCCCCCAUAACCCUUUUGGAAGAUUCUUUUCAUGGAGCAUACACCUUGUCAUCUCCAUAAUGAAUCUGUUCUUCCUUUCACUGACACCAUUCUGUCGAGGAGUAUAUGGUGUUGUUAAUUGAUGUUGAAUUCCAGCUUCUUCACAAAAUUUGUUGAAAGCAUCAGAGGUGUAUUCCUUGCCAUUGUCAGACCUUAUAAUCUGAAUUGAGCAUCCACUUUCAUUUUCAACUCUGGUUUUGAAUUUCCAGAAUAUACUGGGAACCUCUAACUUUUGUUUCAACAUGAAAAUCCAACACAUUCUUGUUAGAUCAUCAAUAAAAAUUAUGUAGUAGAGGUUACCAUUUAAUGAAGGUGUUCUCUGAGGACCACACAAAUCAGUGUGCACCAGUUGCAGCUUUUUCGAGGCUCUCCAAGCUUGUUUAGGGAAAGGUUGUCUGUGUUGCUUCCCAAAAUUGCAGGCAUGACAAGGAGGAAUAUUAUCAUCAAUGUCUGCGAGUCCUUCAACUAGCUUCUUUGAUUGCAUCUGAAACAAUCCUUGAUGAUGAAAGUGCCCAAGUCUUUUGUGCCAAAUCUCAGUGGCACUAGCUCUGGACUUGAAGGCCAUUUGUUCUUUCUCCAUUGGAUUUAAAGCAAAGCUUUUUCCUUUCAUUUUGACAUUGAACAAGUCUUUGCCACUAGCAUCUCUAAUCAAGCACUGUUUAUUCUCAAACAACACUUUAUAGCCUUUAUCGAGUAGGUGGCCAACACUUAAGAGAUUUUGAUCAAUUUUAGGUACAAAUAAAACAUCUGAAACAAAUUUUGUACCUUCAUAGCUUGCUAUAGCUACUGUGCCUUUUUCCCUUGACUUCCAAGAGUUCACCAUUUCCAAUUCUCACUCUCUUAACUUCAGUGUUUUUUAAUUCUUCGAAAAGCUCCUUGUCAUAUGUCAUAUGAUUUGUGCACCCACUGUCAAUCAACCAGCUCUCACUUGAUUCUCUACUUGAGAAACAAGUGACCACGAACAAUUGAUCUUCUUCUUGACCAACAACUUGUGCAUCUACUUCUUGCACCUGACCUUUGACUUUGCAGAUCACAGCUUCAUGUCCAAGUUGAUUGCAUUUGGAGCAUUUUGCAUCGGGUCUUCUCCAACACUUGUAUGGUGGAUGACCUUUCUUCUCACAGUGGCGGCAAGGUGGGUAGGAUUUUUUGGAACCUUCUUCCUUUUUUAAGUUUUUCUUCUUUUUGUACCUGUUGUUGUCUUGAUGCUUGACAGGUAAAGCUCCUUCAAUCACCCCUUCUUGCCUCAUAGACCUUCUUUGCUCUUGUGCUUGUAAAGCAUUCAAGAGCUCUGUAAGAGAGAUUUUUGACAGGUCUUAGGUGUUCUCCAGAGUAGUAAUGGUGGCUUCAAACUUCCCGGGAACAGUGACCUGCAGCUUUUCAACAAUCCUAGAGUCAAUACACACAGAACCAAGUAAUCUCACCUUAUUGGCAAUGCUGAGAAGUCUGUCAGAGUACUCCUUCAUUGACUCAAACUCCUUCCUCUUCUGCAACUCGAAAUCCUGAAUCAAAUUCAGGACUUUCAUUCCACGAAUCCUCUCAUCUCCUGCAAAUUCACCCUUGAGGUAAUCCCAAAUUUCCUUUGUUGUUUUGAGGGACAUUAUUCGUGUGAAGAUCAUUUGAGAUAUAACUGCAAAUAGGCAAGCUUUUUCCUUUGAUUUUAUGGUUUUUUUCUCCUUCUAUGCUUUGAUUUGUGCAACAGUAGGAUUUGCUGGAAGUGGAGGGACUUCGUAAUCUUCUUCUACUGCUUCCCAAAGAUCCAAAGCCUUCAGAUAAGUCUCCAUACGAAUUGCCCACAUUUGAUAAUUGUCUCCAUCAAAGACUGGUGGUGCAACAGCUGAAAAACUUGAUUCUCCUUCCAUUUUGACCUCACAGAUCCCUUAAGAAGAGUGCUUUGAUACCAAUUUGUUAGUUUCAAAACAAAUAAUAUUUGAUUGAUCAAUUGAGAUGAUAUAUUAAAGUUGGAAAGUUGUGCAUUUGUACACAGAAUGAAUAAAGAUUGUUCUAAAAAACAGAAAAUAAAUAUGGUAACAAACCAAUAGUUAAAACAGAAUUAAUUAAUUUUCUAAAAAUCUGGAGACUUAUUCAAUAACAAAAAAAAGCUAACUUGUAGGAUGUUAAACACAUGAUCCUAACAAACAUUCUUAAAUAUCAACUUUUUUUUAAAAGAACUAUAGAAAAGGUUUCAUAAAACCAAUAAAAGAAGAAAGAGUUUGGUUACUGACUUACCACGUCAAAAACAGCCUUAAGUUAACU
This 4540-nucleotide long non-coding RNA is filed under the name Phaseolus vulgaris (common bean). RNAcentral's name for it is "long non-coding RNA (PVUL_LNC001900)". The record is from RNAcentral. Lineage: Eukaryota; Viridiplantae; Streptophyta; Magnoliopsida; Fabales; Fabaceae.